AUCACUUCUUGGCCUUUUGGCUAAGAUCAAGUGUAGUAUCUGCUCUUAUCAGUUAAAUAUCUGAUACGUCCCCUAUCUGGGGACCAUAUAUUAAAUUGAUUUUUGGAACAGGAAGAUGGAAUAGGGGCUUUCU
This 133-nucleotide small nuclear RNA is filed under the name Erpetoichthys calabaricus (reedfish). RNAcentral's name for it is "U2 spliceosomal RNA (ENSECRG00000007488.1)". It matches the Rfam family "U2 spliceosomal RNA", at positions 1 to 134 of the family's 192-position model. Rfam says of the family: U2 is a small nuclear RNA (snRNA) component of the spliceosome (involved in pre-mRNA splicing). Complementary binding between U2 snRNA (in an area lying towards the 5' end but 3' to hairpin I) and the branchpoint sequence (BPS) of the intron results the bulging out of an unpaired adenosine, on the BPS, which initiates a nucleophilic attack at the intronic 5' splice site, thus starting the first of two transesterification reactions that mediate splicing. Lineage: Eukaryota; Metazoa; Chordata; Cladistia; Polypteriformes; Polypteridae. The record is from RNAcentral.